AGCAGCCGCGGUAAUUCCAGCUCCAAUAGCGUAUAUUAAAGUUGUUGCAGUUAAAAAGCUCGUAGUUGAAUUUCGAGACCGGUUUAUUGGUCGUGCUUUUGUACGUACUGGUAUUAUUGGUUUCUCCUUUCUGACGAAUCUUAAUGCCAUUAAUUUGGUGUUUUGGGGAGUCAGGACUGUUACUUUGAAAAAAUUAGAGUGUUUAAAGCAGGCUCACGCUUGAAUACAUUAGCAUGGAAUAACGGAAUAGGACGUUUGAUUCUAUUUUGUUGGUUUCUAGGAUCGACGUAAUGAUUAAUAGGGAUAGUUGGGGGCAUUAGUAUUCAAUUGUCAGAGGUGAAAUUCUUGGAUUUAUUGAAGACUAACUACUGCGAAAGCAUUUACCAAGGAUGUUUUCAUUAAUCAAGAACGAAAGUUAGGGGAUCGAAGACGAUCAGAUACCGUCGUAGU
This 450-nucleotide ribosomal RNA is filed under the name uncultured Glomeromycotina. RNAcentral describes it as "SSU rRNA". It matches the Rfam family "Eukaryotic small subunit ribosomal RNA", at positions 569 to 1024 of the family's 1831-position model. The record is from RNAcentral. Lineage: Eukaryota; Fungi; Glomeromycota.